This 268-nucleotide unclassified non-coding RNA is filed under the name Hevea brasiliensis (rubber tree). The record is from RNAcentral. Lineage: Eukaryota; Viridiplantae; Streptophyta; Magnoliopsida; Malpighiales; Euphorbiaceae.
GGGUGGCUUUCUUGGUUCACUUUCAUCUUUCUCGGCAACCCAACUCGGUUCUAUAGCGAUUGAAUGUGCCCUUAAGAGGGCAAAUGUUGAUCCGUCUCUUGUGCAAGAGGUAUUCUUCGGAAAUGUUCUCAGUGCAAAUUUAGGGCAAGCUCCUGCUAGGCAGGCUGCUUUGGGUGCUGGUAUACUAAACUCUGUUAUUUGCACCACUAUUAAUAAAGUCUGCGCAUCCGGCAUGAAAGCUACAAUGAUUGCAGCGCACACGAUCCAG